This 433-nucleotide ribosomal RNA is filed under the name uncultured bacterium. RNAcentral describes it as "partial 16S ribosomal RNA". It matches the Rfam family "Bacterial small subunit ribosomal RNA", at positions 29 to 507 of the family's 1533-position model. The record is from RNAcentral.
AACGAACGCUGGCGGCAGGCCUAACACAUGCAAGUCGAGCGCACCCUUCGGGGUGAGCGGCGGACGGGUGAGUAACGCGUGGGAACGUGCCCUUCUCUGCGGAAUAGCCUCGGGAAACUGAGAGUAAUACCGCAUACGCCCUUUGGGGGAAAGAUUUAUCGGAGAAGGAUCGGCCCGCGUUGGAUUAGGUAGUUGGUGGGGUAAUGGCCCACCACGCCGACGAUCCAUAGCUGGUUUGAGAGGAUGAUCAGCCACACUGGGACUGAGACACGGCCCAGACUCCUACGGGAGGCAGCAGUGGGGAAUCUUAGACAAUGGGGGCAACCCUGAUCGAGCCAGGCCGCGUGAGUGAUGAAGGCCUUAGGGUUGUAAAGCUCUUUCAGCUGGGAAGAUAAUGACGGUACCAGCAGAAGAAGCCCCGGCUAACUCCGUG